AACGUCACAUCUUUGAUAUUUUAUUUUUAAAUAAUUAUUUUAUCUUAUUUUCUUUAAUAUUUCAUUAAUCAUUAUCUUCUUCUAUUUGGUUUACCCAUUUUCCCCUUUAAUAAAAAUCGGUUGGCGCUCGUUCUGUAAUAGGCAACCCUAUUUACAUUGUAUCAUCUCUUGUGUUCCAUGUUCGUGAUUUCAAAUUUCGUCCAAGGUUCGUUGUCAUGUCAUUUUAAUGACAAUGACAACCCCCAUAUCUCAUUCUCAAAAUGGAGGUGGAAAUGUUUUAAAAAGCAAAGCAGCUUCAAAAAUAAAUCAUUUUAUUUCAACAAAUCAUCUUCCUCUUGGGUUUUUUGGAAAGAGAUCAACCUUUCCCUCUUCGGGAACUUAAGCCUCACAUCACCGGUGAUGCACACUUGAAGGCAAAGACAAUGACAUCCAGACUGCACAACCACCACCUCUAGCUGCAGGGGCCUUGCGCCGAAGAUCCGCCCAGGCCUACGAGAAGUCUACAACAGCAGUACCAUACGACAUCAAGAAGAUACCAUCAGCUACCAAAAGCCAUAAGUAUAAUCCAGAAUUGUUAGUUUUUGGCAAGAAUUUAAAUACAUUUGUUAAUGCAAUUUACUAAGUCAUUUUAUUUAUUAUAUCUUUAUGAACAAUAAACAUGAUUAGUUAAAAACUA
This is a long non-coding RNA of Diabrotica virgifera virgifera (western corn rootworm), 676 nucleotides long. RefSeq lists it as uncharacterized. The record is from RefSeq and is a predicted model, not a curated record. The transcript has 2 exons. NCBI's taxonomy places the organism in Eukaryota, Metazoa, Arthropoda, Insecta, Coleoptera, Chrysomelidae.